Sinocyclocheilus grahami is the source of this 82-nucleotide non-coding RNA. The record is from the annotation of a RefSeq genome assembly. Lineage: Eukaryota; Metazoa; Chordata; Actinopteri; Cypriniformes; Cyprinidae.
GUAGUCAUGGCCGAGAGGUUAAGGCGAUGGACUUGAAAUCCACUGGGGUCUCCCCAUGCAGGUUUGAACCCUGCCGGCUACG